AAGUAAGAAGCAAAUAUUUGCAGUCAGUUUCGACCUGACCUUAUGGUAAUAAUUUUACCCUUACUUU
This 67-nucleotide transfer RNA is filed under the name Astalotermes sp. TB-2014. Its description in RNAcentral is "tRNA-Arg". The record is from RNAcentral. Lineage: Eukaryota; Metazoa; Arthropoda; Insecta; Blattodea; Termitidae. RNAcentral also lists the same sequence under 1 other name.